GUUUAAAUAGUUUAAUUAAAACAUUGAUCUUGUAAAUCAAAAAUAAGUAAUAACUUUUUAAACU
Molecule: transfer RNA, 64 nt
Filed under: Tenebrionoidea sp. 4 KM-2017
Lineage: Eukaryota; Metazoa; Arthropoda; Insecta; Coleoptera
Description: tRNA-Thr
Rfam family: tRNA
About the family: Transfer RNA (tRNA) molecules are approximately 80 nucleotides in length. Their secondary structure includes four short double-helical elements and three loops (D, anti-codon, and T loops).
Source: RNAcentral